GCCGGACCCAUUGGGUACUGUCCGGAACAGCCGGUCAGCGGAUUUGUAAACCGCAGGUUGUGGGUUCGAGUCCCACCCUGGGCUCCA
This 87-nucleotide transfer RNA is filed under the name Chloroflexota bacterium. Its description in RNAcentral is "Chloroflexi bacterium tRNA-Thr". The record is from RNAcentral. Lineage: Bacteria; Bacillati; Chloroflexota.